This is an RNA transcript of Phalaenopsis equestris, 9190 nucleotides long. RefSeq lists it as uncharacterized. The record is from RefSeq and is a predicted model, not a curated record. Lineage: Eukaryota; Viridiplantae; Streptophyta; Magnoliopsida; Asparagales; Orchidaceae. The transcript has 21 exons.
ACCAUCCCCUCAGAGCGCUCGAGCGUUGCGGAACUCUUUCUGCAGAGUUCUGCCUGGAGGAAAACCAUAAUCCUUCGAGAUAUGUCCUCGAAGCCAAUCAUCCUGUUAGGGUUUCUGUUCCUCUUGAUUCCAUUCCUCGCAGCCGAAACCCAAACUUGUCUGGCUGUUUACAAGGAGGGCGGCGCCCCGGCAGUUUUUCAGUCGCCUAAGUGCCCUCGGUGGACGCUUCCCGCCGAUUCUCCCGGCGGACCUCCCACCAACUGUCAGAUUGCUGUUCUCCAGGGGAGGCGCAGGUCUCAGGAAGACCGCGCCGUCUGUGUCCUAGAUAUAAGGAUUCCAUUCUUAGAGAGAAGUGGAAUCAAGGAGAUUCAAGUUGGUAUUGUGGCUGUAUUUGACGGCCAUAAUGGUGCAGAAGCCAGUGAUUUGGCUUCCAAACUUCUAGUGGAGUAUUUUUCAUUACAUGUGUACUUUCUCCUUGAUGGAAUAUACUCUGCAACACUUAAAAAGUCUGUUGAAAAAUUGACAUACAAUGAAAAGCAAAAUGAGAUUAUCCGUGUGCUUGAAUCGGCCAAAAAGGAAAGUUGGCUAAAGUGGGGUCAAAAAAGCUCUGAGUGGUCAUCUACUAUUUUUGAUGAUGCAUUUCAUUUGGAAAUUCUUAAAGAAUCACUGCUCAGGACAAUUCAUGACAUUGAUGUGACAUUUUCGAAGGAAGCUUUAAAAGCCAACCUUGAUUCUGGUUCAACUGCGACAAUUGUUCUUAUAGCAGAUGACCGUAUUUUGGCCGCCAAUGUAGGUGAUUCAAAGGCCUUUUUGUGUUCAAAAAGUUCUGAUCCUUUCCUUGAAAUAGGCAGUAAGUCAAAAUUAAAUAGGCGCAGGAGACAUGAAGCAGCUAUAUCCCCAAUUAAUGCAUAUGAAGGCUCUAAAAUGGGAAAUUAUAAUGCAGUACGAUAUUAUGCUAAGGAACUUACAAGAGAUCAUCACCUUGCCCGAGAUGAUGAAAGGAAUCGCGUGGAAGCUGCUGGUGGAUAUGUGGUGGAGUGGGCUGGAGUCCUUCGGAUCAAUGGGGAGCUAGCUUUGUCCCGAGCAAUUGGAGAUGUGCCUUUCAAGAGAUACGGUGUCAUAUCCAUUCCGGAAGUGACAGAUUGGCAAUCUAUAAGUGAAAAUGACACUUGUCUGGUUAUCGCAUCUGAUGGAAUCUUUGAGAAAAUGACCACACAAGAUGUCUGUAAGGUUUUAUGGGAUGACAACUUAAGAUCCAGUACUAUACCUUGGUGUGUACAUGGACUAUCACAUUCUUGUGCUGAUUCAAUUGUAAAUAAUGCUUUUGAAAGAGGAAGCAUGGACAAUCUGGCAGCUGUUGUUGUUCCACUGGGAUCCGGUGUUGUUUCUGAGGUUGUCUUUUCAGACCAGCUUGAUGUAGCUGAUUUGUCAAAUUUUGGGCUGCAAAUGUUCAUUAACCAACAAGCUGGAUAUCAAGUGAAGCAUGGAGUUGGUACAAGUAUUCUUUCAUCAAGCUAUUACAAGAAGAUAAUUUCAAAGUUUGAUCGGUUGAUGAUUGAAGCAAGAAACACAACUUUUGGAUGCUUCUAUCUAUCUGAAAAUCUCAAUAAUGACAUGGAAUAUAUUUUUCAAUUCCCUAAGACUGACAGAGAGAGUGCUUUUAGUGAAUUAGAUCACGCAUUGCCGGAGCCGGUUGACUCUUAUUCUAGUGGGGGAUCUCUAGAUUUAUACAAUGACCCUGAAUUCUGCUGGCACUUUGGGAUUCAUGAAGGAGAUAAAGGUCAAUGCACCAGUCCUGAGGUUUUCACGAGCUUUCUAGGGCUUCUUGAUUCUGUCUCGUAUAAUGACGCUAAAUCCAACCACACAAAGUCGUUUGGUCAAAGAAUACCUGAUCCAAGGUACAAACUGAAGAGACAGUUUGACCGAGGUUCAUAUGGUGAAGUUUGGUUGGCAUUUCGUUGGAAUUGUUCUAAUGAACAUGACACAUCCUAUCCUUUAUUUAGUGGUCAAACGUAUUCUUUGGGUAGCCCAAGGCUUACUGCACAUUUGUACGAUGUAAGCCCAUCCAAUGAAUCCUGCAGUAGUAACUUGAGUGAUGGAGAUUCAUUCAUUUUGAAACGUAUAAUGGUGGAGCGAGGAAGUGGUGCUUACUUAAGUGGCCUGCGUGAAAAGUACUUUGGUGAAAUUUUUUUAAAUGCCUCCUUUUCAUUACACGAAUUACGAAAGACAGGAUUAUCUACUACUUUUUCAAUGGAAGAUGAAGUCCAUUCUGACAACUUGAUAUGGAAUGAUAUCUCUGAUGUUUGGGUGAAAACAUGUAAAUAUGAUAUUGGGAGCACAGAUGUUGGGAAUUUCAAGACAAAAGCUAACUGUGAAGAAGGUUUAGAACAUAUAGCUCGCUUUGUAGAAUCUUUUGAAUCCGAGUCAAAUGAGAUAUGGCUUGUGUUCCACACCGAAGGCUUAUCCCUGUCAAAGCUGAUGUAUACUGCAGAGGAAGUAAACUCAUUAAACAUUGAUGAAAUGUAUGAAAAUGUGAAAAGGAUCCAGGUAGUGCAUCCAUCAAAAUGGUGGCACUGGCUGCGAACAACAGAAGCAGGAAAGAAGGAAAUGCAGAGUCUUGUAUGGCAAUUGUUGAUGGCUCUCAAAUCUUGUCAUGAUCGUAAUAUCACUCAUAGGGACAUUAAACCAGAGAACAUGAUCAUUUGUUUUGAAGAAGUGAACAAAGGAAAGUGCUUGAGAGAGGCUCCGCCCAUUGGGAGUAAUGAGUAUCAUAUGAAAAUGCGCAUAAUUGACUUUGGGAGUGCAAUGGAUGACUUUACUUUAAAGCAUCUUUAUGGAUCUGGACCCACAAGGUCGGAACAGACGUUUGAGUAUGCUCCUCCAGAAGCACUUCUCAAUGCUAGCUGGUUUCAGGGGCCAAGCAGUGUUAGAUUGAAAUAUGAUAUGUGGAGUGUAGGGGUUUUUAUGUUGGAGUUGAUACUUGGAUCCCCUCAUGUUUUCCAGAUCUCUCAUAGGACUCGUGCUUUAAUUGAUCGACAUCUUGAAGGCUGGAGUGAACCAACAAAGGAACUAGCUUACAAAUUGAGAUCAUACAUGGAGAUGUGCAUUUUAGUUCCUGGGAUUUCCCCACAUAGUCGCCAGAGGAAUGGAAUUAAAGAUCAUUAAAAAAAUGACUAAUAAGACCAAAGAGAUUGCUACACCGGCCUUGUGGGAAAAAGAAACGAAAAUAAUAUUUUGUGUUAUUUGCCUCAAAGAGAUCGAAAUGGGAAACAAGCCAACUACCUUCUUCAACAAGGAAGGGUGGCAAAAUAUUACCAAAAAUUUCAAGGAAAUUAUAGGCAGAGAGUACGACAGAAUGCAAUUAAAGAAUAAAUGGGAUCAGCUUAAGAAAGAAUGGAAUAUUUUGAAGGACUUGAAAUGCGGCUCAACAGGAUUGGGGUGGGAUUCGUUGAAGCAAAAUAAUUGAUGCACCAGAGGAGUGGUGGACUGAAAGUCUUGCGGUGGUUCCUGCAGCGAAGUAAUUUAAGAUUUUCAUAAUUGAGGCAGAAUUGGAGGAAAAGCUCGACCGCAUGUUUGGCAGGGUGGUUACAACGAGAAACUAUGCAUGUUGCCCAAGCGAGGCAGAGUUUGUUGGCAAUACCAUGAAUCUUGGAACCCCUUGAGCUUUAGGUGAUUCCACUGAUGUCCCCAGUCCGGAGCAGAAUGAAUAUGAGACAACUUUCUCUUCCAAGCGGCCAAGGGAUGACAAUAGAAAAAAAAUUGGUGUUGGUUUCCUUGGAAACGAACUCUCACAACUGGUAUCUUCUUACAAAUCAGAAUGUCAGGCUUCUUAUUCAACCACUAAGAGGAGGCGCUACAAAUUCUGAGUGAUUCACUCGAAAUUUAUGAGGACGAAGCAUUGUAUCUGUUUGCAACAGAAUUGAUUGAGGACCCGGUCCGUAGAGAUAUCUUUAUGAAGAUGUCAGCAGGGCGCAGAAUGUCUUAUCUCCAACGUUUUCACGAUCGCUCAAAUAUUUGAGAUAUUCAAUGCAACAAGAACAUUUAUUGUGCAUUUUCUUUUAAUUUUUUGUUGUACUUCAGAACUCUUUUAUAUUCACGUUAUUAUAUGCAACCGUCUUCCUUUUGGUAUUACUCAAAAUUUUACGUUUUAGUAACUCAUUACUAUAUAUGGUUAAGACCGAAAGAUAUCGACCCUCAUGGAUGCAAGUAGAAGACGACAGAUGUCGAUCAACAUAGAUGCACACAGAAGAAGGCGGAGAGGGAUGUUGAUUACUGUCAUAUGCUUGAUCUACGAGUACUACAACUCGUACAUCGUUGUGUAUGAAUCUUCAUAUAUCGUUGAUAAAUGGGUUGGGGAGUUGCUAGUGGGGCACCCAACAAGAUUUAGUAAUGUAUUUCAAAUGAGCCAAGAAGUAUUUAUCGAUAUUCUUGAGGAACUUGUAGGAGCUCACGGACUUCAUGGUUCAUCCAGGACCACUUCACGUGAGAUGUUUGCAAUAACAUUGUACAUACUAUCUCAGAAUGAAUCUAUGCGAGGGGCAAUAGAGCGUUUUCAACACUCAUCCGAGACAAUUAGCAGGUACUUCUCAAUUGGAUUGAGCGCACUUGUUAGUCUUCACUCACAUGCCAUCAAACCAUCAGAUCCUAAGUUCGAGCGGACACCCGCAGAGAUAUCACACGAUGUGUGAUAUAUGCUCUUCUUCAAGGCAAUGUCUCGAAAGCAGUUGAGUUGUUUUUUUUUUUACAAUGCAAUGUUUUGUUGAACAUAACUUUCGCUUACACAAGAUUGCAUCAACGCAAUUGAUGGAACACAUAUUGACGCACGAAUGUCGAAUAAUGAUAAAAUUGCAUUCAUUGGUUGUUGCGGUAGCCUGACCCAAAAUGUCAUGGUCGUUUGCAACUUUAACAUGUGUUUCACUUUUAUAAUGGUCGGUUAGGAUGGGAGAGCACCUGACAGUCGAGUUUUUAGGUUUAUAACACGGAAUGCCAGUAUCAACUUUCCACAUCCACUGGUAGGUAAGCUCGAGCAUUAACACAAUAAUUUUAGACUUUUUUUUGCACUCUUGAUGCUCACUAUGAAGAGAAGUGUGUAUUUGUAGUUCUGUAUUGUUUUUAAGUGAAUUUUUGCCUUAAAAGUAUUAAAUUUGUGUCUAUCACUAUUCUGUUACGCACAAUAUUACAAAACAAGGCCAGAAUGAUCAUUUUUACAGAAACAAUUGUCUCACAGUUUUUUUUAACAUAGAUGCCCCAAACAUGCAGUCAGCUUCCCCACAGCAACUUCCUGGGGCAGCGUAGCUGUAGCUGGAAGCUAAAAAGCUGCAGCUGCUCCAAACUGAGUCUUAAUUAUCUAAAUUUACUCAAGAUAACACAUUAUCGCAAUUUACGUAUGUCCAAUAAAAUCAAUCUGGUAAAUGUGGUGGAAGUAAUCCAAAAUAAUUCAUUUGAAUAUAUCUAUAAAGCAUCUAAAAAUACACCCAAUAUUUUUUUUUAUAAAAGAAGAAAUUAGUAUAUCCCCUGACAGAUGAACGGACAUGGGGGAUGAAUCACAGUAUUGGAAAUUGCUUUUGGAGUUUUGUGGGAAACAUCUUAAAAUGGGAUCCAGAUCCUUUCAAAUAAGUAGUCCCUUCUUAGUGGUUGCUAUUGAGAAUCGUCUAGCAUACCAAAGAUUUCAUUCUCGUGUUAGUUCUUCCAUAUAAUUUUGUUUAUCAGGUGCGCCCAAUCAAGUAAGAGGAGUGAAAAAAUCAAGUUACUUAAUGACUUGAGAGUUACUUUGUGAGAAUCUAUGGUUAUAUGCAGCUCUAGCUUAAGUUGUGCUAAAAGAGAUUGAAUGCUUAUUCUAUCAUGAUGUGCUUUAGAAUGACAAUGCUUACAUCAUUGACUUAUCGCGAGAUUACAACAUUUUUGCUGCUUUCAACAUGUUUGAUCUGAUUUCAUAAUAUAAGAGAAAUCUUCGACGGAUGAGGUCGAAGCACCACCAACCACGGGAGACUGAUGUGGGCGUCUGUUGCUGCUGGACAGGCCGCAAGCAUCUCCUGCUUCUAGACCAGAAGGGAGGCAUUAAGGUUGGCUGGGACCAGUUUAGAACCGUAGCCCGAGGGCCGACCAACCAACCCUCAUUUGCGUGGGAUUACCGCCUCCUUGUUAGUGGGAGCCCACUCCUAGUUAUCCUUGAGUUAUAUAGUUGUGAUUUUGUUUUUCUCGGUUUAGUUUUUGGUCAGGUGCUGUUCGUGAUAGCUGCUGGUGUCUUAAUUUCCUGUCUUGGGCUUUAUCUAUUGGUAUGAAGUGUUUCAGCUAUAUUUUGCUCUUAAUAUCGUGAUUAUCCUUCCCUCUACCCUUCCCCAUCUUUCCCACUUCACUCCCCAUAGCACAUUCUUGCUGUAGCCGCCUAGAACAGCCGCCGGUAGCUUGCUUCCUGCAGUUUUCCCACUGUUCCAGCCUUCACGUUUGCUGCCGCUACCGUUCCAGCUUUCACCUUUGCCGCCGCUACCUGCCCUCCACCUUUGCUAUCGCUGCUGCUCCAACCCCCCACCUUCACCGCUUCUGUUCCAGCCCUCCUGCUUGAAGCAAGCUACCAGGAAAGGUGAAAUCUUUGGUAUGCUAGACGAUUUCAUACCACUAUCUGUAGGAAAUCAAUAACCACAAAUGGCAUGAAACGAAUAAUGUCAUUUGUGCGUAAUUCGUGUGUUAUAUGCGGAAGGCUGGAAUUUUGUACAACCCUACAGAUAUUUGAAUGAAACAGAGAGAGUAGUUUAGAGAGCACAUCUCCCGUGUUUAGCACUAUGCACGAGAAAGCUAGUGUGAGCUCGGCCAAGUGCAAAACUGCAAGCAAGGAGGAUGCAAUUUAUGUGUCCAAUGUCUUCGCGGAUGUCUAUUUUUUUAAUAUAAGGGAUAUAUAAAUUGUAAGUGUAUUUAACAAAUCACGUCAACUCUAUCGCAUGUGUCUGAAGUCUUCUUUACGAAUCCUCUUCUUUUUUGUUUGUUCUCACUCAGAGCUAGCUGCCUAAGGUAUUAAGCCUAUUUUAGGUUUCAUUUUGAUAUUAUUUCACCUAGUUAGUAUAUUUUGAUAAGCAUUGAUGCCUAGUAUUACGUGGCCCAAUCUAGAAGAAGCUAGGUGUAAUCUACACCAAGUCUUAACUCUUUUUUUUUUUUAGAAAGCCCAAAAAGGCUAAUAUUUUAACUAGAAAGAAAGAUACAUAUAGAAUGUGUGGGAGGGCCCAAGCAUGACACCCUGCCCACGCAAUAACCACAAAUGGUUCCAAAACUAGAAAAUACAGAAAAGUACAUUAGAAACUUAAAGAUAAAGCUUAAAAGUGUCGAAAUACAAAAUAUCAGGUGGCUAGAGAGUGACCCAAUUUGGUAUUGCCUUUGCCUCUAGUUCUAGGGAAGGAGCAAACUAAUAAUUUGGUAAAAUGAUUGUCAUUGCCAGUAAUAACCAAUAUGUCAUCCAAUAUGUUCCCGAGCUAGAGUCGACCUCCAUUCUUCUUCUUCCUCCUGGAAUAGAACUGUCAUUCCUCAUCCGAAGAUUGGCUCACCUGAUCUUGAUCUAAAGUAUGUUGAAGAUGUGCAAGUUGUUGAACAUUAGAAGCAACUAUAAGUUGUACCGGCUGAUCUGUUACUGAAUCAAAGGAGCACUCUCGUGUGUCUUGGCUUUUAAGUGAGUCUUAUUCAAUAACAGUGGGUGGUAUAAGCACCACUGGAUAUGUAGUUAUAGUAUGGUAUUCUUCGUCAGGAAUUGCGGUGUUGGAAAGAGAAUCGGGUUGCAUCUUCUCAACAGGGAUGAUAGAUGGCUGAUCUUUAGCGAUAUCCAGUCUUAGAUGAGGAUGCAAACGAUAGCAAAUAGUAGAGUUGUGGUCAAACAUACUGCAAUGAGAGCAAUAAGGCGGGUGUGGUUCUAUUUCAACAUUUUGUCAAUACCCGUUGUGAGUGGUUCCAAUCUAUAUCUCAUCGGGAGCUGGUUGAGUGAUAUCCCUCUCAACAAACACACGAGCCACAGAGGGUCUGGAGACAGCAAACGUAGGACUAUUAAUCUUGAGAGACUUACCGUAAGCAGUUGCUAAGGAAUAGAGGAUUUCCAAGUUGAACAGAUGUAAUUUUAACCUCGGAGACUUUAUCCAAACAAAUGAUGGAGACUCCGCUUUUGGAUCAAAAUCAAUAGUCCACUUCAAAAUUUUCAUAUAACGGUUGUUGAUCUUGAUAACUUUCCGAAAAAAAAUGCGAGUGUAAUCGGCAUCGUGAGACAACUGAAUCAGUAUGUGUCGAUCGUUAAGUAAAUCAAUAUUUCAACUGCCUACCAGCUUCAUAGCAUCAAGUUCUUUUCGAAUGAUCUUAAGUUUUGGGUGACCAUAAAGAAAUUUUCUUACUAAAGCAAAACGCCACGAAGAUGCGAGAGUACUGGUUUCAACCUCUAUGAGAAUAAGAGCAGACUUCCCAUUUUUUCCCAGUUUUUUUAAUGAAGGUGUGAUCGUCACCACCUUCAAGAGCCUCGUGAAAUGAUUGUGAAACAUUGCAAGAGUGGCCGCCGACAACUGCAGUGGCAUAGGAAUGGAUAGUCGAUGCCAUCUCCGCCGACAAGAUGGUCUGUCGGGUAGGAAACGAAGAUGUCGUCUGGAAAUGAGAAGUGCGAAGGAGGCGUCGGCAAACGAGGACGUCGUCUGGAAAGAAAUGCGAAAUUUCGUCGUCUGAUAGCGAAGUUGCGUCGUCUGGAAGCUGCGAAAGAGGUGUCAUCGUGCAGGACGCGAGCCGCGACAGCAGACAUCGUCGAAAAGCAGGAUACGUCAUCAAUUAAGAGACGACGCUAGCAAGCGUCGACGACAAGGACGUCUGCGAGCGAGCGGGUCGAGAAAGUUGUGAAGAAGUGAGAAAACAAGGAAAUCACUGCCAGGAAUCUCCAUCAGCCGAAAUCCUAGCAGAGCCCGUUGUCGCUGCCGAUGUCAUUUUCAUAUAAAUGCACCAAGUCUAACUCUAUAGCCAAACUAAUUUUGUUGGAUAAAGGAUGUGAAUGGUAUGACUUCUUCUGUCCAUUAUCAUAUAGCAGUAGAAUAUGUAAUUUCUAAUCUUUUCUUUCUAUUUAAUAAUGUUCUUGCAUCUGAUUUUAUUGAUUGAUAUUCAUAGUUUCUUCUUCUCGGCAAAGUUCACAAGUCAUUGUUUGUGGGAUUUUUUUUUUUUUAAUUUUUUUUAUUUUUUUAUUAUG